CGUCCGGCUGCGGCGCCGGGACCCGGCGGACCGGUGUCCGUCGCCGGCGGAUCGCUGGAGUACUUCAGCGCCGGGCGGAUCGAGCUCCGCUUCGCACGG
Molecule: transfer RNA, 99 nt
Filed under: Streptomyces lavendulae subsp. lavendulae
Lineage: Bacteria; Bacillati; Actinomycetota; Actinomycetes; Kitasatosporales; Streptomycetaceae
Description: tRNA-Arg(ccg)
Source: RNAcentral